Molecule: ribosomal RNA, 245 nt
Filed under: uncultured bacterium
Lineage: Bacteria
Description: partial 16S ribosomal RNA
Rfam family: Bacterial small subunit ribosomal RNA
Source: RNAcentral
GACGGAGGGUGCAAGCGUUGUUCGGAAUUACUGGGCGUAAAGAGCGUGUAGGCGGUCGGAUAAGUCGAAUGUGAAAGCCCGGGGCUCAACUUCGGAAGUGCAUUCGAAACUGUUCGGCUUGAGUACGGGAGAGGGAAGUGGAAUUCCUGGUGUAGAGGUGAAAUUCGUAGAUAUCAGGAGGAACACCGGUGGCGAAGGCGGCUUCCUGGACCGAUACUGACGCUGAGACGCGAAAGCGUGGGGAG